AACAAAAACAUCACUAGAAGAUAAAGACUUUUAGCAAUACCUGCCCAGUGCGAAAUAUUACUGUAAACGGCCGCCCUAGCGUGAGGGUGCUAAGGUAGCGAAAUUCCUUGCCUUUUGAUUGUAGGCCUGCAUGAAUGGUUUAACGAGGGUUUAACUGUCUCUAAAUUUUUUAUUGAAAUUGUACUGAAGGUGAAGAUACCUUCAUUAAAAAGUUAGACAAAAAGACCCCGUGCAACUUUGAAAAUUGACUUUAUUCAGGAGUAAAAGAUUUUUAGGUGGGGCGCCUAGAAAGUAAGCCUAACCUUUCUGAGUAACUAACUCUUUCCGGAUUUGACCCGAUUAUAUUCGAUCAUAGGAGAAGUUACGCCGGGGAUAACAGGCUAAUCCUUUAGUAGAGUUCGUAUUGGCUAAAGGGAUUGGCACCUCGAUGUUGAAUCAGGGAUGAUAGCUUCAAGGCGUAGAGGCUUUG
This is a ribosomal RNA of 469 nucleotides. It matches the Rfam family "Bacterial large subunit ribosomal RNA", at positions 1806 to 2566 of the family's 2925-position model.